GUGAGGAAUAUUGGGCAAUGGGCGAAAGCCUGACCCAGCCACGCCGCGUGAGUGAUGAAGGCCUUCGGGUUGUAAAGCUCUGUGGGGAGGGAAGAAAAAGCGGGAGAGUAACUGCUCUCGUGUUGACGGUACCUCCUUAGCAAGCACCGGCUAACUCUGUGCCAGCAGCCGCGGUAAUACAGAGGGUGCAAACGGUGCUCGGAAUUACUGGGCGUAAAGCGCGUGUAGGCUGACAUGCAAGUCGGGUGUGAAAUCCCAGGGCUCAACCUUGGAACUGCACUCGAAACUGCACGUCUUGAGUACUGGAGAGGGAAGCGGAAUUCCGGGUGUAGAGGUGAAAUGCGUAGAUAUCCGGAGGAACACCAGUGGCGAAGGCGGCUUCCUGGACAGUAACUGACGCUGAGACGCGAAAGCGUGGGGAGCAAACAGGAUUAGAAACCCCGGUAGUCC
Molecule: ribosomal RNA, 450 nt
Filed under: uncultured bacterium
Lineage: Bacteria
Description: partial 16S ribosomal RNA
Rfam family: Bacterial small subunit ribosomal RNA
Source: RNAcentral